AGAGUUUGAUCAUGGCUCAGAACGAACGCUGGCGGCGUGCUUAACACAUGCAAGUCGAGUGCGCGCCUGUAGCAAUACAGGUGGCGCACGGCGCACGGGUGCGUAACACGUGGGUAAUCUGCCCUCUGAUGGGGAAUAACUCGCCGAAAGGCGAGCUAAUUCCGCAUAAUAUUCCGAGAACCUCGGUUUUUGGACUGAAAGGCGUAAGUCGUCGGAGGAGGAGCCCGCGCACGAUUAGCUAGUUGGUAGGGUAAUGGCCUACCAAGGCUUUGAUCGUUAGCUGGUCUGAGAGGAUGGCCAGCCACACUGGAACUGAGACACGGUCCAGACUCCUACGGGAGGCAGCAGUGGGGAAUCUUGCACAAUGGGCGAAAGCCUGAUGCAGCGACGCCGCGUGGGGGAUGAAGCUUCUCGGAGUGUAAACCCCUUUCGAUCCGGACGAAUGCCCGCAAGGGAUUGACGGUACGGAUAUAAGAAGCCCCGGCUAACUACGUGCCAGCAGCCGCGGUAAUACGUAGGGGGCCAGCGUUGUUCGGAAUUACUGGGUGUAAAGGGUUCGUAGGCGGUGCGGCAAGUUGGGAGUGAAAUCUCUGGGCUCAACCCAGAGACGGCUUCCAAAACUGCUGUGCUUGAGUGUGAGAGAGGCUCGUGGAAUUGCAGGUGUAGCGGUGAAAUGCGUAGAUAUCUGCAGGAACACCCGUGGCGAAAGCGGCGAGCUGGAUCACUACUGACGCUGAAGAACGAAAGCUAGGGGAGCAAACAGGAUUAGAUACCCUAGUAGUCC
RNAcentral lists this ribosomal RNA (784 nucleotides) under uncultured bacterium. RNAcentral describes it as "bacterial SSU rRNA". It matches the Rfam family "Bacterial small subunit ribosomal RNA", at positions 8 to 796 of the family's 1533-position model. The record is from RNAcentral.